UAUCGUUUUACUUUGCUUCUUCGUUGCUUCACCUCCAAAGGUCCAAAAUAGUCCACUCCUGUUGCGGUAAAUGGUGGUUUGUAUGGGGUCACUCUCUCUUCAGGGAGAUCUGCCAUUAGUUGCUUUCCAGGCUUAUUAUUUGCUUUCUGGCAUUCCAAACAGCGAGAGAUAACUUGUCGCACUGCCGAUCUUCCUUUCACAAUCCAAUAAUGCUCUCUCAAAGCCGAAAGUACCGAUUCUUGACCCAUAUGUCCGACUUCAAUAUGAACCUGCUCGAUAACCAAAUCAGUCACUCGAUGCGUAUACGGCAAAAUUAUUGGAUGCUUCGCUUCGUCAUUCACUCCUGCGUGCUUCAGUCGCCCACCAACCACCAGCGUGCCAUCUUUUAACUCGGGAUUUAAUUUCUGUAGUGAGCUAUCUUUGAGCGUUUUCUUCUGAUUUGUUCCAAUUUUGGCUGGUUGAGAUCCGAGUAUCUUUAUCACCGAAGGGAAUGAUGUCGACUGCACAUAUCGUACAAUGUUUAGCUCUGCAUUUCGAAGCUCUUCGACUGUGAGGUUUGGUACUCUUUCUUCGCCACGCAAGUUAUCGUUCACAUUCUCAACAAUCUUCUCUUUAACUCUUUUCAUCAAAUUCCUUCGGUAACGCAAAAGCCAAGCCACCACUCUCUUCAGCUUCCACCAGCUUGAAUAACGCUUAAUCAACGAUUCCAACGGGCUUUCACUUGCACUCGUUGUGUAAACCAAAUUCGCCUUUCGCAAUGCAGGGUCAUCGUCCUCUAUGACCGUAUGAGAAACUUUCGCUGGCCAACAUGACUUAUCUUUCCACAAAAAGUCGGGCCCAUUCAACCAUCGACCACCGUUUGCUAUCUCUUCCAAUUUGAGUCCUUUCGAUGCAUCAUCUGCUGGGUUAUCUUCACUGCUAACAUAUUGCCAUUCGUCGACCGACGACCCAUUAUGUAUGAUUGUCAACCGAUUUGACUCGAAGGUAUGAAACCUCUUUGAUUCAUUACAGAUGCAUUUUAGGACGGACUGCGAAUCAGUCCAAUAUGUCACACUGUUCACUUCGAUGUCUAACUCCUCUUGAAUGAUCUUAUUCAACUUCACGGAAAUGACUGCCGCUGACAAUUCCAGACGAGGUAUAGUUAUCUCUCGUAUCGGCGCUACACGAGCCUUGCCCAAGACGAAACAACAAUGAAUAGUAUCGUCCUGAUCAACCAAACGCAAGUAGGCUACCGCGCCGUACCCAACGCGUGAUCCGUCUGAGAAUAUGUGCAACUCAACUUCCUUUAUCGAGCCAAAGUCCCGAGGUUUAAAACAUCGCUUCACGCUAAUCUUCUCUAACUUGUUUAGAUCUUCGAGCCAGCGACUCCACUGGUUCUUCUCAUUCUCUUCAAUAACAGCGUCCCAACCAGCUCCAUUUCGACAUAAUUCCUGCAAUAUCAACUUUGCCUUCAUAAUAUAGGGUGCUAAGAACCCCAAAGGAUCAAACAGUGAACUCACGAUAGAUAAUAUAGUUCUUCUUGUCGCAGGUUUCUGACCAGAUAACAACAACAUCUUUUCCUGCACUUCCCAUACGAAUUCAUCCUUCUCCACAUUCCAUUUGAGACCAAGGGCACUUUCUGUCGGAAGAUCUUCAACAUUCAAACUAACAACCGAGCUGGCCUUCUCAGAUUCUGGGAUUUCUGAUAACACUCGUCGGUCGUUACUGAUCCAUUUUGUCAACCGGAAACCACCACUCUUCAUUAACUCGAUUAACUGUGCCACCAGACGAUUUGCUGUAUGGUUGUCCGAUACAGACUUCAUCAAGUCAUCAACGUACAUAUUUCUUUCUACUGUCUUGACUGUCUCAGGAUCGAACUUUCCUUCACUAGAAGAAGCCAACUUCUUGACGCAGAGAUUGGCACAACUGGGCGAUGAAGUUGCACCAAAGACAUGUUUAACCAUCCUAUAUUCUGUUGGACUUGCUUCCAGGUUUGCACCUUCCCACCAAAGAAACCUUAAGACAUCACAGUCCUUUGGGUCAACUCUUAUCUGGCUAAACAUUCCUUCUAUAUCCGCCACCAAGGCUACUGGCUCCUGUCGAAAUCUAAUCAACACUCCGACCAACGAAUUUGCCAAAUCGGGACCUUGCAACAAUUGGUCAUUAAGGGAGGUACCAUUGUGUUUGGCCGCACAAUCAAAUACUACCCUGACCUUCUCAGGCUUCAUCGGAUGUGUCACAGGAUGGUGUGGCAGGUACCACACCGGUCUAUCCUUUCGUUCUAAUUCUUCUUCUGGGAUCUUUUGUGCAUGUCCCUUUUUGAUAUAAUCUUCUACCGCAGUCUUGUAUUUCUCCAAAAGUUUUGGAUCCUUCAUCAACCGGGCUUUCAAUGAGCCAAGUCUUCUCUCCGCUAUUUCUUUGUUGUUUGGCAAAACUGGAUUUUCUUUGCGCCAAGGCAAUGCUACUUGGUAGUGUCCUUCUACCAUCUCAAUUGAGUUUUCCAUUACUUCGAGUGCUCUUCGAUCUUCUAUGGACGGGUUUACGCUUAUAUCAACACCUGUAUCAGCAAAGUCGGUAUUCCACAUUCUCUCCAGUCUACGAGAUAAUAGCGCAUCAUGCGAUAAGUCUUCAGCAAACUCCUGACUGUCAUCAUCAUCCAUGCACACACAGCUUACUCCGUUUUCUUGCUCAGCAGCAUAAAUAGGUACAUACGUAGGAGUACCCAUGUGAAUCAAAUUCACCCCACAGCUAGGGUCCACCUUCUUUCCUCCAACUGGACCGAUCACUGUCCAUCCAAGGCUAUACUUAAUUGCUACAGGCUCUGUCUCUUCACCCAUCUUAUAUUCCAAAGGCAGGAACAAACUAGGUCUUUCUUUCACACCAAUUAGCAGCAUCACUUCUCCCUUUUCUAAUUCUGGAAUAUCUAUCCCAUCUAGGUGAGACCAUCUUGAUAAAUCAUCACGCUUUGGUAUACAACUUGGGGAGAUUGGCAUCCCCUUUACCGUUUUCACAUUGGGCAAUUCAAUCACAGUACUUUCGUCCAUUGAUUUCACUUUUAAACUCACCAUUGUUCCUUCCACCUGGGUGCUUCCAGUCAUACCAGUCAACGUAUACUCUAUCUUCUUGCCAACAAGACCAAGUUUCUUUGCAAGCUGCUCAUGACAUAAUGUCACUUCAGAUCCAUUAUCCAUUAAUGC
Paramuricea clavata is the source of this 3176-nucleotide non-coding RNA. Lineage: Eukaryota; Metazoa; Cnidaria; Anthozoa; Malacalcyonacea; Plexauridae. The record is from the annotation of a GenBank genome assembly.